RNAcentral lists this ribosomal RNA (253 nucleotides) under uncultured bacterium. RNAcentral describes it as "partial 16S ribosomal RNA". It matches the Rfam family "Bacterial small subunit ribosomal RNA", at positions 524 to 776 of the family's 1533-position model. The record is from RNAcentral.
UACGGAGGGUGCAAGCGUUGUCCGGAUUUAUUGGGUUUAAAGGGUGCGUAGGCGGCCGAUUAAGUCUGGGGUGAAAGCCCGUUGCUCAACAACGGAACUGCCCUGGAAACUGGUCGGCUUGAGUACAGACGAGGGUGGCGGAAUGGAUGCUGUAGCGGUGAAAUGCAUAGAUAGCAUCCAGAACCCCGAUUGCGAAGGCAGCUGCCUAGACUGUCACUGACGCUGAGGCACGAAAGCGUGGGGAGCGAACAGG